This 465-nucleotide ribosomal RNA is filed under the name uncultured Klebsiella sp. RNAcentral describes it as "bacterial SSU rRNA". It matches the Rfam family "Bacterial small subunit ribosomal RNA", at positions 338 to 795 of the family's 1533-position model. The record is from RNAcentral. Lineage: Bacteria; Pseudomonadati; Pseudomonadota; Gammaproteobacteria; Enterobacterales; Enterobacteriaceae.
CCUACGGGAGGCAGCAGUGGGGAAUAUUGCACAAUGGGCGCAAGCCUGAUGCAGCCAUGCCGCGUGUGUGAAGAAGGCCUUCGGGUUGUAAAGCACUUUCAGCGGGGAGGAAGGCGGUGAGGUUAAUAACCUCAUCGAUUGACGUUACCCGCAGAAGAAGCACCGGCUAACUCCGUGCCAGCAGCCGCGGUAAUACGGAGGGUGCAAGCGUUAAUCGGAAUUACUGGGCGUAAAGCGCACGCAGGCGGUCUGCCAAGUCGGAUGUGAAAUCCCCGGGCUCAACCUGGGAACUGCAUUCGAAACUGGCAGGCUAGAGUCUUGUAGAGGGGGGUAGAAUUCCAGGUGUAGCGGUGAAAUGCGUAGAGAUCUGGAGGAAUACCGGUGGCGAAGGCGGCCCCCUGGACAAAGACUGACGCUCAGGUGCGAAAGCGUGGGGAGCAAACAGGAUUAGAUACCCCUGUAGUC